CACACUAUCAUUAACUGAAUCCAUAGGUUAAUGAGGCGAACCGGGGGAACUGAAACAUCUAAGUACCCCGAGGAAAAGAAAUCAACCGAGAUUCCCCCAGUAGCGGCGAGCGAACGGGGAGGAGCCCAGAGCCUGAAUCAGUGUGUGUGUUAGUGGAAGCGUCUGGAAAGGCGCGCGAUACAGGGUGACAGCCCCGUACACAAAAAUGCACAUGCUGUGAGCUCGAUGAGUAGGGCGGGACACGUGGUAUCCUGUCUGAAUAUGGGGGGACCAUCCUCCAAGGCUAAAUACUCCUGACUGACCGAUAGUGAACCAGUACCGUGAGGGAAAGGCGAAAAGAACCCCGGCGAGGGGAGUGAAAAAGAACCUGAAACCGUGUACGUACAAGCAGUGGGAGCCUCUUAAUGGGGUGACUGCGUACCUUUUGUAUAAUGGGUCAGCGACUUAUAUUCUGUAGCAAGGUUAACCGAAUAGGGGAGCCGAAGGGAAACCGAGUCUUAACUGGGCGUUAAGUUGCAGGGUAUAGACCCGAAACCCGGUGAUCUAGCCAUGGGCAGGUUGAAGGUUGGGUAACACUAACUGGAGGACCGAACCGACUAAUGUUGAAAAAUUAGCGGAUGACUUGUGGCUGGGGGUGAAAGGCCAAUCAAACCGGGAGAUAGCUGGUUCUCCCCGAAAGCUAUUUAGGUAGCGCCUCGUGAAUUCAUCUCCGGGGGUAGAGCACUGUUUCGGCAAGGGGGUCAUCCCGACUUACCAACCCGAUGCAAACUGCGAAUACCGGAGAAUGUUAUCACGGGAGACACACGGCGGGUGCUAACGUCCGUCGUGAAGAGGGAAACAACCCAGACCGCCAGCUAAGGUCCCAAAGUCAUGGUUAAGUGGGAAACGAUGUGGGAAGGCCCAGACAGCCAGGAUGUUGGCUUAGAAGCAGCCAUCAUUUAAAGAAAGCGUAAUAGCUCACUGGUCGAGUCGGCCUGCGCGGAAGAUGUAACGGGGCUAAACCAUGCACCGAAGCUGCGGCAGCGACACUAUGUGUUGUUGGGUAGGGGAGCGUUCUGUAAGCCUGUGAAGGUGGCCUGUGAGGGUUGCUGGAGGUAUCAGAAGUGCGAAUGCUGACAUAAGUAACGAUAAAGCGGGUGAAAAGCCCGCUCGCCGGAAGACCAAGGGUUCCUGUCCAACGUUAAUCGGGGCAGGGUGAGUCGACCCCUAAGGCGAGGCCGAAAGGCGUAGUCGAUGGGAAACAGGUUAAUAUUCCUGUACUUGGUGUUACUGCGAAGGGGGGACGGAGAAGGCUAUGUUGGCCGGGCGACGGUUGUCCCGGUUUAAGCGUGUAGGCUGGUUUUCCAGGCAAAUCCGGAAAACCAAGGCUGAGGCGUGAUGACGAGGCACUACGGUGCUGAAGCGACAAAUGCCCUGCUUCCAGGAAAAGCCUCUAAGCAUCAGGUAACAUCAAAUCGUACCCCAAACCGACACAGGUGGUCAGGUAGAGAAUACCAAGGCGCUUGAGAGAACUCGGGUGAAGGAACUAGGCAAAAUGGUGCCGUAACUUCGGGAGAAGGCACGCUGAUAUGUAGGUGAAGCGACUUGCUCGUGGAGCUGAAAUCAGUCGAAGAUACCAGCUGGCUGCAACUGUUUAUUAAAAACACAGCACUGUGCAAACACGAAAGUGGACGUAUACGGUGUGACGCCUGCCCGGUGCCGGAAGGUUAAUUGAUGGGGUUAGCGGUAACGCGAAGCUCUUGAUCGAAGCCCCGGUAAACGGCGGCCGUAACUAUAACGGUCCUAAGGUAGCGAAAUUCCUUGUCGGGUAAGUUCCGACCUGCACGAAUGGCGUAAUGAUGGCCAGGCUGUCUCCACCCGAGACUCAGUGAAAUUGAACUCGCUGUGAAGAUGCAGUGUACCCGCGGCAAGACGGAAAGACCCCGUGAACCUUUACUAUAGCUUGACACUGAACAUUGAGCCUUGAUGUGUAGGAUAGGUGGGAGGCUUUGAAGUGUGGACGCCAGUCUGCAUGGAGCCGACCUUGAAAUACCACCCUUUAAUGUUUGAUGUUCUAACGUUGGCCCCUAAUCGGGGUUGCGGACAGUGUCUGGUGGGUAGUUUGACUGGGGCGGUCUCCUCCUAAAGAGUAACGGAGGAGCACGAAGGUUGGCUAAUCCUGGUCGGACAUCAGGAGGUUAGUGCAAUGGCAUAAGCCAGCUUGACUGCGAGCGUGACGGCGCGAGCAGGUGCGAAAGCAGGUCAUAGUGAUCCGGUGGUUCUGAAUGGAAGGGCCAUCGCUCAACGGAUAAAAGGUACUCCGGGGAUAACAGGCUGAUACCGCCCAAGAGUUCAUAUCGACGGCGGUGUUUGGCACCUCGAUGUCGGCUCAUCACAUCCUGGGGCUGAAGUAGGUCCCAAGGGUAUGGCUGUUCGCCAUUUAAAGUGGUACGCGAGCUGGGUUUAGAACGUCGUGAGACAGUUCGGUCCCUAUCUGCCGUGGGCGCUGGAGAACUGAGGGGGGCUGCUCCUAGUACGAGAGGACCGGAGUGGACGCAUCACUGGUGUUCGGGUUGUCAUGCCAAUGGCACUGCCCGGUAGCUAAAUGCGGAAGAGAUAAGUGCUGAAAGCAUCUAAGCACGAAACUUGCCCCGAGAUGAGUUCUCCCUGAGACUUAGAGUCUCCUGAAGGAACGUUGAAGACGACGACGUUGAUAGGCCGGGUGUGUAAGCGCAGCGAUGCGUUGAGCUAACCGGUACUAAUGAACCGUGAGGCUUAACCUU
RNAcentral lists this ribosomal RNA (2762 nucleotides) under Escherichia coli. Its description in RNAcentral is "partial 23S ribosomal RNA". It matches the Rfam family "Bacterial large subunit ribosomal RNA". RNAcentral also lists the same sequence under 1 other name. The record is from RNAcentral. Lineage: Bacteria; Pseudomonadati; Pseudomonadota; Gammaproteobacteria; Enterobacterales; Enterobacteriaceae.